UAAAAAGGCAUCUUUUUAUUUUUAAAAGACCUUUUUCGGAAGGUAUGCUUAAAGAGGGGCUUGCGUCACAUUAGUUAGUUGGUAGGGUAAAGGCCUACCAAGACGAUGAUGUGUAGCUGGACUGAGAGGUUGAACAGCCACAUUGGGACUGAGACACGGCCCAAACUCCUACGGGAGGCAGCAGUAGGGAAUUUUCGGCAAUGGAGGAAACUCUGACCGAGCAACGCCGCGUGAACGACGAAGUACUUCGGUAUGUAAAGUUCUUUUAUUGAAGAAGAAACAAUAGUGGAAAAACUAUCUUGACGUUAUUCAAUGAAUAAGCCCCGGCUAACUAUGUGCCAUAUAGUGGAGGUUAUCAGGGAUACAGGUGGUGCAUGGUUGUCGUCAGCUCGUGUCGUGAGAUGUUAGGUUAAGUUCUAAAACGAGCGCAACCCCUGUCGUUAAUUGCCAGCACGUUAUGGUGGGGACUUUAGCGAGACUGCCAAUGAAAAAUUGGAGGAAGGUGGGGAUUACGUCAAAUCAUCAUGCCCCUUAUGAUCUGGGCUACAAACGUGAUACAAUGGCUAUUACAAAGAGUAGCUGAAACGCGAGUUUUCGGCAAAUCUCAAAAAAAUAGUCUCAGUUCGGAUUGAAGUCUGCAACUCGACUUCAUGAAGUUGGAAUCGCUAGUAAUCGCGAAUCAGCAUGUCGCGGUGAAUAC
RNAcentral lists this ribosomal RNA (700 nucleotides) under Palm lethal yellowing phytoplasma. Its description in RNAcentral is "bacterial SSU rRNA". It matches the Rfam family "Bacterial small subunit ribosomal RNA", at positions 181 to 1369 of the family's 1533-position model. The record is from RNAcentral. Lineage: Bacteria; Bacillati; Mycoplasmatota; Mollicutes; Acholeplasmatales; Acholeplasmataceae.